This 492-nucleotide ribosomal RNA is filed under the name uncultured bacterium. RNAcentral's name for it is "partial 16S ribosomal RNA". It matches the Rfam family "Bacterial small subunit ribosomal RNA", at positions 29 to 507 of the family's 1533-position model. The record is from RNAcentral.
AGUGAACGCUGGCGGUAGGCCUAACACAUGCAAGUCGAACGGCAGCACAGUAAGAGCUUGCUCUUACGGGUGGCGAGUGGCGGACGGGCGAGGAAUACAUCGGAAUCUACUUUUUCGUGGGGGAUAACGUAGGGAAACUUACGCUAAUACCGCAUACGACCUACGGGUGAAAGCAGGGGAUCUUCGGACCCUGCGCGAUUGAAUGAGCCGAUGUCGGAUUAGCUAGUUGGCGGGGUAAAGGCCCACCAAGGCGACGAUCCGUAGCUGGUCUGAGAGGAUGAUCAGCCACACUGGAACUGAGACACGGUCCAGACUCCUACGGGAGGCAGCAGUGGGGAAUAUUGGACAAUGGGCGCAAGCCUGAUCCAGCCAUACCGCGUGGGUGAAGAAGGCCUUCGGGUUGUAAAGCCCUUUUGUUGGGAAAGAAAAGCAGCAGGUUAAUACCCCGCUGUUCUGACGGUACCCAAAGAAUAAGCACCGGCUAACUUCGUG